This is a long non-coding RNA of Arabidopsis thaliana (thale cress), 379 nucleotides long. RefSeq annotates it as other RNA. The transcript has a single exon. The record is from RefSeq. NCBI's taxonomy places the organism in Eukaryota, Viridiplantae, Streptophyta, Magnoliopsida, Brassicales, Brassicaceae.
CGUCUGCUACAAACCGGACAUAUCUACAUCACAACCAAAGCUGAAUUUGUGAGAAGUUAUUACAUUCAUCAUCACCAAAAGACUGUUUUCAUUUCUCACACCAAACACUUCACAACUACAAAAUGGUUCCUCAUAGCAUCAAGCAAAUAAUCCAAGUGAACUAAAAUCCAAGAAGUCCCUACCAACUCUCCUUACAGAAUCACAAUCCUGCCUACUAAAGUAACCAUUAGAGUACAACAAUGAACAUCACACGAUAAAUAGUCUAAAUUUACAACUAACUGCUUCAUGUAAAAACUCAAAUGUAUAGUUUAAAGAACAGUAACUGAUUUGGGAGAUGGAUACGAGUUGCAAUUACCCCAUUGUUGGCGUCUAGUUGAUG